CUGCCUACGAGACGCAGCAGUGAGGAAUAUUGGUCAAUGGUCGGGAGACUGAACCAGCCAAGCCGCGUGAGGGAGGAAGGUACAGAGUAUCGUAAACCUCUUUUGUCAGGGAACAAAGGCGGGGACGUGUCCCCGGAUGAGUGUACCUGAAGAAAAAGCAUCGGCUAACUCCGUGCCAGCAGCCGCGGUAAUACGGAGGAUGCGAGCGUUAUCCGGAUUUAUUGGGUUUAAAGGGUGCGCAGGCGGUCUGUUAAGUCAGGGGUCAUAGCCCGGGGCUCAAACCCGGCCCGCCGUU
This 295-nucleotide ribosomal RNA is filed under the name uncultured bacterium. RNAcentral's name for it is "partial 16S ribosomal RNA". It matches the Rfam family "Bacterial small subunit ribosomal RNA", at positions 334 to 628 of the family's 1533-position model. The record is from RNAcentral.